CAGGAUUCGUGUCUCCUAAUCACUCAGGGAUCCAGAUUGAGUGGAGUUGCUAUGAUGCUACUCUUUCAAGAUUCCCUCCAUGUACUAAGUUAGAGGAACAGAACAUAGAGAAUAAUGCAGCAGCUCUUGAGUCCGUUUGUAUGGAAGUGAUAGACACACAUUCAUCUGCUCAUAUCUUUGUAGCACGGCCAUCCUUUUCACUAGUAGGUAGGGAAAUGUGACCUUCCAUGUACAUGGAACAGCAAAAACACUCAAUACUGAUGACUCUGGGUGUUGUCCACUGCCACAGGAAGAACAGGAGAAGCAGAAAGAUGGAAUGAUGACCCCAGUGACAGGAAGUCAAGUUUACAGUUAUUUCCAGAGGAGCCAAAUGGGAAAUGAGUUAAUGGCAACAUCUUCCAGGUCCACCAUUGUUAUGAAAAUGCUGGGAGGUAAGGCCCAGCUUCUGUAGCUCACUGAUGCUUCACUAGCACUAAGCCAAGCCUCAGAAGUCUCAUGUAAUAAUCAGGUCCUAGGGCCUAUUGUGG
RNAcentral lists this long non-coding RNA (527 nucleotides) under Vulpes vulpes (red fox). RNAcentral's name for it is "lncRNA (ENSVVUG00000019965.1)". The record is from RNAcentral. Lineage: Eukaryota; Metazoa; Chordata; Mammalia; Carnivora; Canidae.